This is a long non-coding RNA of Drosophila albomicans, 588 nucleotides long. RefSeq lists it as uncharacterized. The transcript is spliced from 4 exons. Lineage: Eukaryota; Metazoa; Arthropoda; Insecta; Diptera; Drosophilidae. The record is from RefSeq and is a predicted model, not a curated record.
UGUUAUGCUUUUGCUUUAUGGUUAAUUGGGACGCGCUUUGAAUUUCGCAACCGCUGCGUGCGCCGUACUUUCUCUGACUGAAACUGAAAAUCGCAAAAGCUGCCAGACCAGAACACGAAACACGAACAGAACAGAACAGAGCAGAACCUGCUGAGAGCAAGAGUGUGUGCUCUCUGUACGUAUGUGUGUGAGAGAACAGGCGAAUAAGCUGCACAAUGAAAGUGAAAACCGUUCGCCGACAUCGCUGUUUCUACUGCACUGCAAAGUGGGCCCGUCUGAGCGAGAUAGAGACAGACAGCGAGAGCGCCAAAACUAAGAGAGCGCUCCAUUAGUGAGAGAGCGCCACUUGUGAGCGAACGCAGCGAAGUACUCUAGUCACGUUUCAAAUGUCAAGAAUGAUGCAUAGCUGACUUCCGCAAACGGCAGAUCGUCACAGUCGCCGUAAUAGUUUGACCCCAAACAAAAGCCGCAAUCAAAAUAUGUGUGACACAUGUGUGUGUUCUACAUAGAAGUCGCAGCCAUGUGGAAAUAAAACACAACAAAUGUAUUGACCUUAACACUGAAUGCUCAUUGCUCGCCAUCCACACA